RNAcentral lists this ribosomal RNA (550 nucleotides) under uncultured bacterium. Its description in RNAcentral is "bacterial SSU rRNA". It matches the Rfam family "Bacterial small subunit ribosomal RNA", at positions 123 to 708 of the family's 1533-position model. The record is from RNAcentral.
AACGUGCCUUUCACCACGGAAUAGUCCCGGGAAACUGGGUUUAAUACCGUAUACGCCCUUCGGGGGAAAGAAUUUCGGUGAGAGAUCGGCCCGCGUCUGAUUAGGUAGUUGGUGGGGUAAUGGCCUACCAAGCCGACGAUCAGUAGCUGGUUUGAGAGGAUGAUCAGCCACACUGGGACUGAGACACGGCCCAGACUCCUACGGGAGGCAGCAGUGAGGAAUCUUGGACAAUGGGGGCAACCCUGAUCCAGCCAUGCCGCGUGAACGAUGAAGGCCUUAGGGUUGUAAAGUUCUUUCAACGGUGAAGAUAAUGACGGUAGCCGUAGAAGAAACCCCGGCUAACUCCGUGCCAGCAGCCGCGGUAAUACGGAGGGGGUUAGCGUUGUUCGGAAUUACUGGGCGUAAAGCGCACGUAGGCGGACUAUUAAGUCAGGGGUGAAAUCCCGGGGCUCAACCCCGGAACUGCCUUUGAUACUGGUAGUCUAGAGUUCGAGAGAGGUGAGUGGAAUUCCGAGUGUAGAGGUGAAAUUCGUAGAUAUUCGGAGGAACA